UUCGAUGAAAUUUUUCAUAUUGGAGCAAAAUUCAGAUGAGUAUCUUGUCAUUGAAGAUUUGGGAGAAAAGCAUUUUGAUGUCCGAGGAAGAAAGUGGGGAAUCGCACAGGCUAUCGCGCUGGAUGAUUUUACAGAUAAAGACAAUGGAUUUCUAGUUGAUAACACUUGUACCUUUGGAGCCGAGGUUUUUAUUACAAGUGCUGAGCCUAGUUACUCGAAGAUGUCGCUAGUCAAUUCCAUUUCCAAAAAUGUAUUUAAAAUUGGUAUUAAAUUUGAUAUCGAAAGUGAUUAUUAUGAUUCUACUACCUUCACCGCUACAUUAGAUGGAAAUACUUACACCUGGUGCGUAGCUAUUUUUUUAAAAUAGUUGAUGAAUCCUCGUUUUUAUAAAUUUUUGUACCAUGAUUAUGUUUAUACAUUAAAUACUCGUUUUUUUUUUCCACUAAUCUUUGUAGGAAACUGCGGUUAUACCUAACUAGACAUUCUGAGGGAACUGACUUUCAUGUAUCGCUGUAUCUGAUUCUUGUGGAUAUCAACAAGCUUUCCAAUGGAAGGAGCAUGUUGGUUAAUUUUCAAUUAAGUUUAAAAAAUAAAAGUACUGGAUCGUACUCUUAUUCCAUGCCAGCUGCUCUUGACUGGUACCAUACCAAAAAGGAUUCGUCGGGCUAUUCUAAGUUUAUUGAAAGAGAAGCCUUUUUUAAUUCGACAACCAAAUAUGAUUAUUUACAAACUGCAAAUGUGAAAGUCCAAUUCAAAAGUGUCUUCAUUCUCAAUGACGUUGAUGAAUAAGAUGUUCACAACCACCAUCGAUGCAUACUCUUCAUUUGUAUUGAAUGUUUUUUGGUUGUAAUCAUCGAGUAUGUAUGAAACGAACCAAGGUCUCUUACACAAGGCAUAUUGUGUUAUCCCUAAACGCUUUCUGUAGAGUUACAUGGUUUUACCUUACUCUUAAAGAGUUUUACAUGUAAUUUCCUUCAUUUCAAUUAAAUUAUAUUAAAUUAUUGUAUUUGUUAUCACGUGAUUAUGAAAUAAUUAUGAUGUUGGGAUAUUUACUUCACUAUUAAAUGAUAUGAUAACCUUUUUCAUAGUUGUGAUUUUGUUUUUUUGGUAUUACUUAAGGUAUUUUUUAUAUAUUCUUCUCCGGUUGUAACAUUCAUUGGCUAUAAAUACUAGCUUAAUUCCCGUGCAAUGCACGGUUUUACCAAAAUUUGUAAAGAUAUACAACAAUUCUAUACAAAUUAUUCUCUUAUAAAAAGUAUCAUAAAGAUCCAUAUUUUCUAAAAUUUUCUAUUCAAUAAAUUUUAGCUUGCACCCGUAUGAUAUACAAUAUGAAUAUGACCACUCAAAUGCAAAGUAAAUCAAAUUUUCAAGAAUGGAGCGAGGGAGAUUAUUCAGAAACAUUUUUUAACAAUAACUUGUUCUUUAGCUUGUUAUACACACUGGCGUGCAUAAGUUAUCAUUUAUACUUAAACUAAUAAAUUACUUAAAUCACUUUAUUAUUUUACUUUGCUUUUGACAUUUUAAAAAUCUGGCUUAAAAAUUAUAUA
Molecule: long non-coding RNA, 1547 nt
Organism: Chenopodium quinoa (quinoa)
Lineage: Eukaryota; Viridiplantae; Streptophyta; Magnoliopsida; Caryophyllales; Amaranthaceae
Exons: 3
Source: RefSeq, a predicted model, not a curated record